AGUCAAGAUGAGAAUUCUAAGGUGAGCGAGCGAACUCUCGUUAAGGAACUCGGCAAAAUGACCCCGUAACUUCGGGAGAAGGGGUGCUCUUUAGGGUUAACGCCCAGAAGAGCCGCAGUGAAUAGGCCCAAGCGACUGUUUAUCAAAAACACAGGUCUCUGCUAAACCGUAAGGUGAUGUAUAGGGGCUGACGCCUGCCCGGUGCUGGAAGGUUAAGAGGAGUGGUUAGCUUCUGCGAAGCUACGAAUCGAAGCCCCAGUAAACGGCGGCCGUAACUAUAACGGUCCUAAGGUAGCGAAAUUCCUUGUCGGGUAAGUUCCGACCCGCACGAAAGGCGUAACGAUUUGGGCACUGUCUCAACGAGAGACUCGGUGAAAUCAUAGUACCUGUGAAGAUGCAGGUUACCCGCGACAGGACGGAAAGACCCCGUGGAGCUUUACUGUAGCCUGAUAUUGAAAUUCGGCACAGCUUGUACAGGAUAGGUAGGAGCCUUUGAAACGUGAGCGCUAGCUUACGUGGAGGCGCUGGUGGGAUACUACCCUAGCUGUGUUGGCUUUCUAACCCGCACCACUUAUCGUGGUGGGAGACAGUGUCA
This 595-nucleotide ribosomal RNA is filed under the name Staphylococcus aureus. RNAcentral's name for it is "partial 23S ribosomal RNA". It matches the Rfam family "Bacterial large subunit ribosomal RNA", at positions 1665 to 2259 of the family's 2925-position model. The record is from RNAcentral. Lineage: Bacteria; Bacillati; Bacillota; Bacilli; Caryophanales; Staphylococcaceae.